This 578-nucleotide ribosomal RNA is filed under the name Filobasidium magnum. RNAcentral describes it as "partial large subunit ribosomal RNA". It matches the Rfam family "Eukaryotic large subunit ribosomal RNA", at positions 88 to 652 of the family's 3401-position model. The record is from RNAcentral. Lineage: Eukaryota; Fungi; Basidiomycota; Tremellomycetes; Filobasidiales; Filobasidiaceae.
GGCGAGUGAAGCGGGAAGAGCUCAAAUUUGAAAUCUGGUGGCCUCAGGUCAUCCGAGUUGUAAUCUAUAGAAGUGUUUUCCGUGCUGGCUCAUGUACAAGUCCCUUGGAACAGGGCGUCAUAGAGGGUGAGAAUCCCGUCCUUGACAUGAACUACCAGUGCUCUGUGAUACAUUUUCAACGAGUCGAGUUGUUUGGGAAUGCAGCUCAAAAUGGGUGGUAAAUUCCAUCUAAAGCUAAAUAUUGGCGAGAGACCGAUAGCGAACAAGUACCGUGAGGGAAAGAUGAAAAGCACUUUGGAAAGAGAGUUAAACAGUAUGUGAAAUUGUUGAAAGGGAAACGAUUGAAGUCAGUCGUGCUCUUUGGAUUCAGCCGGUUCUGCCGGUGUACUUCCUUUGAGUGGGGUCAACAUCAGUUUUGAUCGCUGGAUAAAGGCUGGAGGAACGUAGUACCCUCGGGUAAACUUAUAGCCUCCUGUCACAUACAGUGGUUGGGACUGAGGAACGCAGCACGCCUUUAUGGCCGGGAUUCGUCCACGUACGUGCUUAGGAUGUUGACAUAAUGGCUUUAAACGACCCGU